AGCAAAUCUGAUGCUCCCCUCUUGCUCUUGCUCUUGCUCUUGAUCUUCAGUGUUCUUCAAUUUGCUUCAAUCUUCAAUGGCUAAUUAAGAACUAGGGUUUAUAUUCUAAUCUAAUGGAGUGUUUAAUCUAGUUUAAUCUAUGUAUUCUCUCUUUAUUUUAUGUCUUACAUAAUGUAUUUAUAGGUUACAAGUCCAAUUUUUAGCUUAAGAACAAACCCAAUCCAAUUUGGAGUCAAAAUUCGCUCAAAAACGCGUCCAGGCCAUCACCAAGCCCUUCCCCAGCGCCCCAGCGCUGGGCUUGACGCUCAAACACUGCUCCCCAGCACCCCGGCGCUGGGCAUAAGCCUAUUUUGGGCGCCCCGGCGCUGCCAUAUGUUCUGACAUUUUCAGCUCCAACGUCCUUUGGGAAAAUGGCCAUAACUUCUUCGUCCGAACUCCUAUUUUGAUGAUUCAAGAUGAUCUGGAAAGAGGAGAAGUAUAUCUACAACUUUUAUUCUUUAAGUGUUUCAAAAUAAGGUCCAGAGAUAUACUCAAAUUAGCUCUGAAGUGACUGAUGUGUAAAUGGCAAGCCAAAAAUACGAAUCUAGCCAAACGUCGAUCCAAGUAACUUUUGUCCCAAAUCCUACAAAACAAUAUAAAACAUGCUUGAAUAGAUACAAACACUUAAAAACUAUUCUAAAAGACUUAAGAACAACAAUAAAUUAAGCCCGAAUGUAUCUAAUUCAUGUGUAUAAAACUCACUCAUCAAUACUCGUAUUAGAUAUCAUUUCUUUUGUACUCAUCAAGGGAUAUCAUUUUUUUUCUUCAUAUUUCUCCAUUUAUGGUACGAAAUUAUUGUUUGUUUCCAUAACCUUAUUAUAAAAUGGUAAAAAUCCCUGAAAUUAAUAGAAUAUCCUUAAUAGUUGCGCUUCAUCUAAUAUCAUUUCACUAGAAUAUUGGUCUGAACUUUCUUAUUAAAUUUUAAUCUAUUCAUCCGGCUACUAUUCAUGCCGGAGUACUAUUCACAACGAAAUUUAGUUUAUUUUCUUUUUUCCAAAUUAUCUUUGAAAUUUGAAUCUUAAAUAUCAUUCUUGAAUUUUACUCCACAAUUGGUUAACAUGUUGAUAAUUUGGACAUUCUUGAACUCUGAAUAAAUUAAAUUAUAAAUCUCUAAUAUUUAUCCUUGAUCUCACUUGAUUCAGUCUUUAUAUCAUUGUCAUCAUCCUUAUGCUUAUAUUGUGGUGAAAGUCAUCUUUGACCCGUAGUGCAAAGAUGGACUGUUGAUUGAUAUAAUUAUGACUAGAAAUUGUGUAUUGAUAUAAUCAUGACCUUUAAUGUUACAGAUAAAGGUUUGUGGUGAAAGUCCUUUUUGGCCCGUAGUGUAUAAAUGGACAGAUGUUUGGCAUGAUCAUGACCACUGGUGAUACAAACGAAUAUAUUUGGUCCGUAGUGCAUAGAUAAUUCGUUGGUUUGAAAUAAUUAUUGAUUUGUGUUAUAGGGAUAAAAUAUUGAUGAUGGACUUUUAAAUCAUAGAAGAUAGUAGACAUCAUGCUCUACUUGAUUCUUCUAAUUGAUUGUUAUUUCCGCUGUAAUUGUUGAUCUAAAACUUGUUGUCUAUUGUAUUAUAUCAGAUUUUUCACUGUUGAGGACUAAGAAUAAUUUGUUCUACAUUAUCUUAGUCAUAAUAUUCUUUAUUGAGCUAGUUGAGUUCACUCUUUUCCUUUUUAUUCCAUUAUUCUUCUCAGGAAAUGAAAGUGUAGCUGGAACUAGUCGGGGAGUGGAGUAAUGGUCCGAGAUAGUUACUAUAGAAGUCUUCACUAUGUUAUGAAAUAGUGUGAUAAUAAUUAUAAUGAAGAUUUAAUUUGAGUUUGGAUAUUGUCGUAUUAUGUACGGUGCAAUAUUUGUAUUCAAACUCACAGAUUAUGUGUUGUUGUAUUUUGCACGACAAUUUAAUAGUUGUAUAUAGGAAGAUUUGUAUUUGGAUUCUGUACCAUGUAGUUUGACGACUCAAAAUAGAUUGUAUAAACCUAUUUUGGGAGCGUCACAAAAGGUCAAACAAACAUGCUACAAAACAAACCUCUAGAAAGCAAUCUGGUUAACAGCUUGCCAACAAUUAUAAUCCAAAGGAGGUCAAGUCUAAAUCUUUUUGAAAUAAGACAAAACAACUACAUAUUAGGAACCCAAGAACUAUGAACAAUCCAAAUAUUACACAAAGAUAACAAGCAUAUAAAUUCUCUUCUGACAGACAUAUAUUGUAACUGUGGACCUAAUUAACUUUACAAUACUACAUCAUUCUCAUUGGCAUUUUGCUAAAGAUACAAUUUCAUUCAUACAAAUUUAAGAAAAAUAAUAGAUAAAUAAAUAAAUAAAAUAACAAAUGUAUAAAUUAAUGAUAUAAAUAAACAAAUAAUAACAUAAUUUCAUUCAUACAAAUUUAAGAAAAAUAAUAGAUUUUGUAAAACCAACCUUAAACGUGUAACAUGUCCAAUUAAUCACUAAUUCAACUCAUGCUAAAAGGUGUCAUCAACCAAUUGACACAAGAGAGCAAGUAGAAAGAAUUCUGAUCAUAAACUCUUUAGGGGCCAACCACACUCCUAUCAUUUCCUCCCCAAUUUGAGUUACAGUCUUUCCUUUUAUCAUAAACUAUAAGAAUAGGUGCAACCAAGUGAUAACCCAAUUCUCAGAAUAUAAUAUGUUUAUUUUACUUGAAAAAUACCAACUGAUCAAGCAAUAGAACAGUACCAAAAUGUAAUACUUGUCAGAACAAUGAGUCUAUCUUUGGUUGAAUAAGUAAACGGAUAAAUCCAUUGUUGGGCAUUACACACGUAGCUCUAAUUGAAGUAAACAAAUGGUACCAAUAUUCUUUUCUAUAAGGCCUAAAUAUAGAUUAAUACCUUAACUUUCCAAUUAAUGCAAUUGAUCAGACACAUGNNNNNNNNNNNNNNNNNNNNNNNNNNNNNNNNNNNNNNNNNNNNNNNNNNNNNNNNNNNNNNNNNNNNNNNNNNNNNNNNNNNNNNNNNNNNNNNNNNNNGAGCAAAUCCAAUGGUAAUGUCAAAAUGACUAUAGCUAUUGCUAUAUUUUGGCACCAAAAAGUACUUUUUUGUGUUAAAAUAGAACCCAGUCUCCAGUGGUUGGUUCUAUUUUAGCACCAAAUUAUUUCAAAUUUAACUAACUUUCUCUCCAUCUCAUUGUUAAUUACUUUUUCAACUCCAAUUUAACUAUCUACGUUAUUUUCAACCCCGUUGUGAUCUAAUUUUUUAAAUCCCCGUUCCCAACAUUCUCAACCCCCAUUCUACUUAAAAUUUCAGAUAUUUUUCAAUCCACAAUUAUAGCACCCCCAUUCCACCGUUUUUAACCACCAUUCAACCCAUAUAUUUUUAUUAUCUAACUUUCUCAUCUAACUUUCCUCAACCACCAUUCGUUCCAUGUUUUCCGGCCACUUUUCGUUCAGUUUUAGGUAUGUCCGAUUCUUGAUUUUCUGUUAAUUUCAGUUGGGGUUUGAGAUGUCAAAGGAUGACUGUCAUCCUUGGUUCUAUAUUUAGAACCAAGUAUAGCAUUUUGCUAUUUUAGAACUAAUUAUAGAACUGGGUUGGAUUUGUGUUUUUACCAUUUGGUGCUAUAAUUUGACUAUAGAACCAAUUAUAGCACCCAUUGGACUUGCUUUAAAUGAUCAAAACCUAACAAUCUAAGGAAAAAUUUAAUUAUAAAAAAGAAUGACCAAAACCCAGAAGAAAAACCUUAAAAAGAUUAAAAACCCCUUAUAGACACAAACACUUGACAAACCUGAUAAAAGUAAAAUGUUUAGAAAUAAACCAAAAUUUAGUACUUAAAGGAAACAAAGCUAAACAACAAACGAAAAAAAGAAAAACAAUAGUAUUUACCUGAGGCAACAGGGAGAGGAAUGCAUAUCUAGUGGGGAGAAGUGGCAAAAGCCAUUUUAUCAAAACCUUUUGUCUAAAACAAAUUAACAAAAACACAAAUCUUUGCCUUUCAAUGCAAUUGUUUUAAACAAUAUCUCAUGUUAAAAUCAGUUAUUCUAAACAUUGAAGGAAUUUUUUAAACUUCUUCUCACUCCCAGUCCCAGCUCAGCCAUACCCAUCAAUUACCGCAUUCUUUUCUUAAAUGAGUAAGAAAAUAUUCAAAUGAUAAGUAGCCUAGCAUUUUUAAUAGGACAAACCAGUCGGAAUGUGCUGAGAGAUGCCAAGAUGGAGCCUCCAAUCCAAACAAUAUACUUUCUCUCCGUAAGUCCUUUAGAAACAGUAUCAGAGUUCAGAUUAAUUUGAACAAAUAGCAGAUUGAAAGGUUUUAAAUAAGCAAAUUCAUUUUUUGGACAAAGAUAGUUGGGUUCCCAAUUCACAGUUUUCAAUUCUUAACCUUAUAAUUUGAAAACUCGACAAAUCCUUAUAAUUUGAAAACUCACCGACAAAUCUUUCUCGCUUCGCCGCUGUUAGAGAAAUCGUCGCGGAUUCGCCGCUAAGAUUGUGUAGUUGUAUGUAAGCCGUUGCUAGAAAAAUCGCCGCUGAGAUUGUGAUUUUUUGAUUUGCCCGAUGGGGGUAAUUUCGUCCAAAAAUGAGUUUAAU
Molecule: long non-coding RNA, 4559 nt
Filed under: Panax ginseng (ginseng)
Lineage: Eukaryota; Viridiplantae; Streptophyta; Magnoliopsida; Apiales; Araliaceae
Description: long non-coding RNA (PGIN_LNC010182)
Source: RNAcentral